CUCAGGGUGUCUCUUUCAGGGGGUAGGGACCCCUUCCAUGUGAUAAUGAAGAGCAAUCACCCAGGGACAUGCAUCUCGCAGGGCUGGUCCAGACAACUCUCAGAAAUAAAACCGCAGCAAGAUCAAAGAGGGUCAGACUUCAAGAUGGCAACUACUCCAUGUGUUCAGAGUUGAAGGAGGACUGUGUUCAAACUACGCCAUACUAUGUGCAGAAGGACCCAGAGCAUCAAAUGAUGUACUACAGGUUCCAAGAUUCUAGGAUCUUCUGGAGUUGCAGAUAGGUACCAUACGGCUAAGAAUUAUACAACUUAUUGCAUCCCAAUUCCUAUAGGACACACCUCUAAGUAUUUAAUACUAGUGGAAUAAAAAAAUAAAC
This 376-nucleotide long non-coding RNA is filed under the name Chinchilla lanigera (long-tailed chinchilla). RNAcentral's name for it is "lncRNA (ENSCLAG00000022621.1)". Lineage: Eukaryota; Metazoa; Chordata; Mammalia; Rodentia; Chinchillidae. The record is from RNAcentral.